Molecule: non-coding RNA, 26 nt
Filed under: Mus musculus (house mouse)
Lineage: Eukaryota; Metazoa; Chordata; Mammalia; Rodentia; Muridae
Source: RNAcentral
GUGACAGAAUGCUUGGGACACACAGC